Notechis scutatus (mainland tiger snake) is the source of this 494-nucleotide non-coding RNA. NCBI's taxonomy places the organism in Eukaryota, Metazoa, Chordata, Lepidosauria, Squamata, Elapidae. The record is from RefSeq and is a predicted model, not a curated record.
AGCAGGAAGCCCCUUGCUCCCCCCCCCCCCUUAGCAUGGCUGAUUUAAAAACAACCAAAAUCAUUCCCCGAGAUGUUCCUUUUUCAAUCACCAUAUAUACAAGAGGUCACUCCUGACGACUUCUUUAUCUUCUUUAUUUUUCAUUUAUAUUUAUAUAUAUUUAUAUAUAUAUAAAACCCUGCAACUCAGACACUCUUAAAUUUACACACAUGUCAACGAAAAAUAUAUGUAUAUCUCCAACAAAAGCUUUUCCAUUCUGGCAUCUCCCGACGUGCAUGUAAAGCACACCAGCCCCUCACAUUUUUGGGGGGUUAACCCUUUUAACCCGAUGGAGUGUUUUCAAAGCAAGGUAUUUACUGUAUGACCUGUGGACUUCAAUUCCCAGAAUCCUGGCCAAGGAAUUUUGGAAGUUGAAGUCCACAAGUCUUUAGUUGGAUACCCCAGCCUCAAGUUUCUGAAAGGUGAAAAUAGGAAACAGCAGCCAGAAGAUCCUG